RNAcentral lists this ribosomal RNA (254 nucleotides) under uncultured bacterium. RNAcentral describes it as "partial 16S ribosomal RNA". It matches the Rfam family "Bacterial small subunit ribosomal RNA", at positions 524 to 776 of the family's 1533-position model. The record is from RNAcentral.
UACGGAGGGGGCAAGCGUUGUUCGGAAUUACUGGGCGUAAAGGGCGCGCAGGCGGCUGCUCAAGUCAGGCGUGAAAGGCCUGGGCUCAACCCGGGAAUUGCGCUUGAGACUGGGCUGGCUUGAGUGCGGGAGAGGAUGGUGGAAUUCCCAGUGUAGAGGUGAAAUUCGUAGAUAUUGGGAAGAACCCCGGUGGCGAAGGCGGCCAUCUGGACCGCAACUGACGCUGAGGCGCGAAAGCGUGGGGAGCAAACAGG